UACACAUUAGAGGCCCUGCCUGCCCAGUGAAACUUUUUUUAACGGCCGCGGUAUUCUGACCGUGCAAAGGUAGCAUAAUCACUUGUCUUUUAAAUAAAGACUAGAAUGAAUGGCAAGACGAGGUAUCCACUGUCUCCUUUAUUUAAUCAAAGAAACUGAUCUCCCUGUGAAAAAGCAGGGAUAAAAAUACAAGACGAGAAGACCCUAUGAAGCUUACAUACACAAUUAGUUAAUAACUUAUUUAAUAUAAGCUUUUAAUACUUCUAAUUAUUAAAUUUGGUUGGGGUGACCACGGAGAAAGAAAAACCUCCGCGAAAUAAAAUUAAGAUAGCCUUUCAAAAUUAAAUAAAAAUACUUGAUCCAAUUGUAUUGAUUAACGAAACAAGUUACUCUAGGGAUAACAGCGCAAUAUUCUCCAAGAGCCCAUAUCGAAGAGAAAGUUUACGACCUCGAUGUUGGAUCAGGGUAUCCAGACAAUGCAGCAGUUGUCAAAGGUUUGUUUGUUCAACAAUUAAAAUCCUACGUGAUCUGAGUUCAAAACCGGAUCAAUAUUAAGCCUUAUUAAAAUUUUAUACUAUUAAGAUAAAAACUUAAUAUAUAUUCAAAAGAGGAACAGCUCUCUUGAAAAAGGACACAACCUAAAAUAGAGGGUAAUGAUUUUAAUAUAGCAAGGUAAAUAUAUUAGUAGGCCUAAUAGCAGCCACCUCAGGAUAUCGUCACAGAUCAUAUACAAAAUAAACCUUAAAUAUCAACAAUAAUCCAAAACCCCUACCCACCAGUGAAUUAUACUAUAAGUUAUAGUAAAAUUAAUGUUAAAACUAGUAAUAAGAAAAUAAAAUUUUCUCAUGCGCACCAAUGUAAGUCAAACUGGACUAACCACUGACAACUAUAAAUAAAUACAAAUUUAUAAACUAGAUAAUGUAUUAAAAUUUAACGUUAACCCAACACUGGAAUGCCCUAAGAAAGAUUAAAAAAUAAAGG
Molecule: ribosomal RNA, 981 nt
Filed under: Scolecomorphus cf. kirkii BMNH-2005.890
Lineage: Eukaryota; Metazoa; Chordata; Amphibia; Gymnophiona; Scolecomorphidae
Description: partial 16S ribosomal RNA
Rfam family: Bacterial large subunit ribosomal RNA (bases 1-566)
Source: RNAcentral